GGUCAUGUAGUUUAUUGGCAGAACAAGGAUUUUGCAGGUCCUAGGAUAGUCGGGUUCGAUUCCUCACAUGGCGU
RNAcentral lists this transfer RNA (74 nucleotides) under Ptilocaulis walpersi. RNAcentral's name for it is "tRNA-Ala". It matches the Rfam family "tRNA". Rfam says of the family: Transfer RNA (tRNA) molecules are approximately 80 nucleotides in length. Their secondary structure includes four short double-helical elements and three loops (D, anti-codon, and T loops). The record is from RNAcentral. Lineage: Eukaryota; Metazoa; Porifera; Demospongiae; Axinellida; Axinellidae.